CCUACGGGUGGCUGCAGUGGGGAAUAUUGGACAAUGGGCGAAAGCCUGAUCCAGCCAUGCCGCGUGUGUGAAGAAGGCCUUCGGGUUGUAAAGCACUUUCAGUGGGGAAGAAAGCCUUGGGGCUAAUACCCUCGAGGAAGGACAUCACCCACAGAAGAAGCACCGGCUAACUCCGUGCCAGCAGCCGCGGUAAUACGGAGGGUGCGAGCGUUAAUCGGAAUUACUGGGCGUAAAGCGCGCGUAGGCGGUCUGAUAAGCCGGUUGUGAAAGCCCCGGGCUCAACCUGGGAACGGCAUCCGGAACUGUCAGGCUAGAGUGCAGGAGAGGUAGGUAGAAUUCCCGGUGUAGCGGUGAAAUGCGUAGAGAUCGGGAGGAAUACCAGUGGCGAAGGCGGCCUUCUGGACUGACACUGACGCUGAGGUGCGAAAGCGUGGGUAGCAAACAGGAUUAGAUACCCGAGUAGUC
RNAcentral lists this ribosomal RNA (465 nucleotides) under Vreelandella stevensii. RNAcentral describes it as "partial 16S ribosomal RNA". It matches the Rfam family "Bacterial small subunit ribosomal RNA", at positions 338 to 795 of the family's 1533-position model. Lineage: Bacteria; Pseudomonadati; Pseudomonadota; Gammaproteobacteria; Oceanospirillales; Halomonadaceae. The record is from RNAcentral.